RNAcentral lists this ribosomal RNA (253 nucleotides) under uncultured bacterium. RNAcentral describes it as "partial 16S ribosomal RNA". It matches the Rfam family "Bacterial small subunit ribosomal RNA", at positions 524 to 776 of the family's 1533-position model. The record is from RNAcentral.
UACGUAGGGACCGAGUGUUGUCCGGAAUCAUUGGGCGUAAAGAGCUCGUAGGCGGUCUGUCGCGUCGGCUGUGAAAUCCCGAGGCUCAACCUCGGGUCUGCAGUCGAUACGGGCAAACUGGAGUGUUGCAGGGGAGACUGGAAUUCCUGGUGUAGCGGUGAAAUGCGCAGAUAUCAGGAGGAACACCGGUGGCGAAGGCGGGUCUCUGGGCCGAUACUGACGUUGAGGAGCGAAAGCGUGGGGAGCGAACAGG